CCAAACCUUCAGAUAAAUCAGAGCACGAGAAAUAUCGUCGUGCAUCUGGAGAUGGGCAUGCAGAUGAUUUUCACUCUGUAGAAGAAGGGGAAGUCGAACCAUUCGAUGAUGUCGACAGGGGAUAUCAGUCAGUCACCGAGGUCAGCCGCUCGUAAGAGGAAGGCCAUUAGCCCCUUGGACAAGAAAAUGGACGGAAAGCUGCGAAAUGAUUACAUGACAGGGUCUUGUACUCUCAACAAUGACUGACCGGGCAAGUUUCUAUAUAUCGAAAGAAAAGGAUAGGACUUCUUUUUCAGUUCAGUCAUUGGUAUUGAUUGCCAUAUCUGGUCUUCUCUUCUCAUUUUAAGUUCAGAAAUAUUUGUUUAGGAUCCAUGUGCUGUAAUGAUCCAAGUUGUUGGACAUAUUUGAAAAUGAUUAAAAGAAAAAAUUACAAAAUAUUAGUUUCGGGGGUCUUGGAAUAAUUAUCAUUACAUAGAUUACAUCCAACAACUAAAUGUCGACAUUACAUAGAUUUUCCCAGUAACUUCCGUCAAAACUUUUUUAAUAUACUCCUUAAAUGUCGAGAAAGGUUUAUGUAUGACAAAUCUAGAUCUGUUGUGAUGCAAAUAAACGCUUGACUAUGAUUACGAACGGUAUCUAUGAAACAAAUGUCAAGUGUGUUUGAUAACUUCGAUCAAUGGAAUGUACCUGAUCGGCUCGUGCUU
RNAcentral lists this long non-coding RNA (704 nucleotides) under Olea europaea subsp. europaea. Lineage: Eukaryota; Viridiplantae; Streptophyta; Magnoliopsida; Lamiales; Oleaceae. The record is from RNAcentral.